AAGAAGCGACCACGCGAGUGUGAGCGAAUCUCAAAAAUAACGUCCCAGUUCGGAUUGUAGUCUGCAACCCGACUACAUGAAGCUGGAAUCGCUAGUAAUCGCGGAUCAGAAUGCCGCGGUGAAUACGUUCCCGGGUCUUGUACACACCGCCCGUCACACCAUGGGAGCCGGAAAUGCCCGAAGCCAGUGACCCAACCUUAGGGAGGGAGCUGUCGAAGGCAGGUCGGAUGACUGGGUGAAGUCGUAACAAGGUACC
Molecule: ribosomal RNA, 256 nt
Filed under: uncultured bacterium
Lineage: Bacteria
Description: partial 16S ribosomal RNA
Rfam family: Bacterial small subunit ribosomal RNA
Source: RNAcentral